Molecule: ribosomal RNA, 2965 nt
Filed under: Acinetobacter baumannii
Lineage: Bacteria; Pseudomonadati; Pseudomonadota; Gammaproteobacteria; Moraxellales; Moraxellaceae
Description: 23S ribosomal RNA
Rfam family: Bacterial large subunit ribosomal RNA
Source: RNAcentral
GUUGUAUAGUCAAGUAAUUAAGUGCAUGUGGUGGAUGCCUUGGCAGUCAGAGGCGAUGAAAGACGUGAUAGCCUGCGAAAAGCUCCGGGGAGGCGGCAAAUAUCCUUUGAUCCGGAGAUGUCUGAAUGGGGGAACCCACCUACUUUAAGGUAGGUAUUGCAACAUGAAUACAUAGUGUUGCAAGGCGAACGAGGGGAAGUGAAACAUCUCAGUACCCUUAGGAAAAGAAAUCAAUUGAGAUUCCCUCAGUAGCGGCGAGCGAACGGGGAUCAGCCCAUUAAGUUAUGUGUGUUUUAGUGGAACGCUCUGGGAAGUGCGAACGUAGAGGGUGAUAUUCCCGUACACGAAAGGGCACACAUAAUGAUGACGAGUAGGGCGAGGCACGUGAAACCUUGUCUGAAUAUGGGGGGACCAUCCUCCAAGGCUAAAUACUCCUGACUGACCGAUAGUGAACCAGUACCGUGAGGGAAAGGCGAAAAGAACCCCUGUGAGGGGAGUGAAAUAGAUCCUGAAACCGCAUGCAUACAAGCAGUGGGAGCACCUUCGUGGUGUGACUGCGUACCUUUUGUAUAAUGGGUCAGCGACUUAUAUUCAGUAGCGAGGUUAACCGUAUAGGGGAGCCGUAGAGAAAUCGAGUCUUAAUAGGGCGUUUAGUUGCUGGGUAUAGACCCGAAACCAGGCGAUCUAUCCAUGAGCAGGUUGAAGGUUGGGUAACACUAACUGGAGGACCGAACCCACUGUCGUUGAAAAGCCAGGGGAUGACUUGUGGAUAGGGGUGAAAGGCUAAUCAAGCCUGGUGAUAGCUGGUUCUCCCCGAAAGCUAUUUAGGUAGCGCCUCGGACGAAUACCAUAGGGGGUAGAGCACUGUUUCGGCUAGGGGGUCAUCCCGACUUACCAAACCGAUGCAAACUCCGAAUACCUAUGAGUACUAUCCGGGAGACAGACUGCGGGUGCUAACGUCCGUAGUCAAGAGGAAAACAAUCCAGACCGCCAGCUAAGGCCCCAAAAUCAUAGUUAAGUGGGAAACGAUGUGGGAAGGCAUAGACAGCUAGGAGGUUGGCUUANNNNNNNNNNNNNNNNNNNNNNNGAAGCAGCCACCCUUUAAAGAAAGCGUAAUAGCUCACUAGUCGAGUCGGCCUGCGCGGAAGAUGUAACGGGGCUAAAACUAUGUGCCGAAGCUGCGGAUUUGACAUUAGUCAAGUGGUAGGGGAGCGUUCUGUAAGCCGAUGAAGGUGUAUUGAGAAGUNNNNNNNNNNNNNNNNNNNNNNNNNAUGCUGGAGGUAUCAGAAGUGCGAAUGCUGACGUGAGUAACGACAAAACGGGUGAAAAACCCGUUCGCCGAAAGACCAAGGGUUCCAGUCCAACGUUAAUCGGGGCUGGGUGAGUCGACCCCUAAGGCGAGGCCGAAAGGCGUAGUCGAUGGGAAAAUGGUUAAUAUUCCAUUACUUCUGUGUAAUGCGAUGAGAGGACGGAGAAGGCUAAAUCAGCCUGGCGUUGGUUGUCCAGGUGAAAGGAUGUAGGCAUGUAUCUUAGGCAAAUCCGGGGUACUCUAUGCUGAGAUCUGAUAGCAAGCUGUACUUGUACAGCGAAGUGGUUGAUGCCAUGCUUCCAGGAAAAGUCUCUAAGCUUCAGUUACACAGGAAUCGUACCCGAAACCGACACAGGUGGUCAGGUCGAGUAGACCAAGGCGCUUGAGAGAACUCUGCUGAAGGAACUAGGCAAAAUGGUACCGUAACUUCGGGAGAAGGUACGCUGUUGUUGGUGAUGGAACUCGCUUCCUGAGCUGACGACAGCCGCAGAAACCAGGCCGCUGCAACUGUUUAUUAAAAACAUAGCACUCUGCAAACACGAAAGUGGACGUAUAGGGUGUGAUGCCUGCCCGGUGCUGGAAGGUUAAUUGAUGGGGUUAGCGUAAGCGAAGCUCUUGAUCGAAGCCCCAGUAAACGGCGGCCGUAACUAUAACGGUCCUAAGGUAGCGAAAUUCCUUGUCGGGUAAGUUCCGACCUGCACGAAUGGCAUAAUGAUGGCGGCGCUGUCUCCAGCAGAGGCUCAGUGAAAUCGAAAUCGCUGUGAAGAUGCAGUGUACCCGCGGCUAGACGGAAAGACCCCGUGAACCUUUACUGCAGCUUGACACUGAACUUUGACCUUACUUGUGUAGGAUAGGUGGGAGGCUUUGAAGCUGGAACGCUAGUUCCAGUGGAGCCGUCCUUGAAAUACCACCCUGGUAAUGUUGAGGUUCUAACUCUGUCCCGUGAUCCGGGACGAGGACCGUGUCUGGUGGGUAGUUUGACUGGGGCGGUCUCCUCCUAAAGAGUAACGGAGGAGUACGAAGGUGCGCUCAGCGUGGUCGGAAAUCACGCGUAGAGUAUAAAGGCAAAAGCGCGCUUAACUGCGAGACCCACAAGUCGAGCAGGUACGAAAGUAGGUCUUAGUGAUCCGGUGGUUCUGUAUGGAAGGGCCAUCGCUCAACGGAUAAAAGGUACUCUGGGGAUAACAGGCUGAUACCGCCCAAGAGUUCAUAUCGACGGCGGUGUUUGGCACCUCGAUGUCGGCUCAUCUCAUCCUGGGGCUGAAGCAGGUCCCAAGGGUAUGGCUGUUCGCCAUUUAAAGAGGUACGCGAGCUGGGUUUAGAACGUCGUGAGACAGUUCGGUCCCUAUCUACCGUGGGCGCUGGAAAUUUGAGAGGAUCUGCUCCUAGUACGAGAGGACCAGAGUGGACGAACCUCUGGUGUACCGGUUGUGACGCCAGUCGCAUCGCCGGGUAGCUAUGUUCGGAAGGGAUAACCGCUGAAAGCAUCUAAGCGGGAAGCCUACCUCAAGAUAAGAUUUCCCUAGGACUUUAUGUCCUCUAAAGAGCCGUUCGAGACUAGGACGUUGAUAGGUUGGAUGUGGAAGCAUAGUGAUAUGUGAAGCUGACCAAUACUAAUUGCUCGUGAGGCUUGACUAUACAACACCCAAGCAGUUG